CCUACGGGUGGCUGCAGUGGGGAAUAUUGGACAAUGGGGGGAACCCUGAUCCAGCGACGCCGCGUGAGUGAAGAAUUAUUUCGGUAUGUAACGCUCUAUCAGCAGGGAAGAAAGGAAUGACGGUACCUGACUAAGAAGCCCCGGCUAACUACGUGCCAGCAGCCGCUGUAAUCCGUAGGGGGCAAGCGUUAUCCGGAUUUACUGGGUGUAAAGGGAGCGUAGACGGUUACGCAAGUCUGGAGUGAAAGGCGGGGGCCCAACCCCCGGACUGCUUUGGAAACUGUAUAACUUGAGUGCAGGAGAGGUAAGUGGAAUUCCUAGUGUAGCGGUGAAAUGCGUAGAUAUUAGGAGGAACACCAGUGGCGAAGGCGGCUUACUGGACUGUAACUGACGUUGAGGCUCGAAAGCGUGGGGAGCAAACAGGAUUAGAUACCCGAGUAGUC
Molecule: ribosomal RNA, 443 nt
Filed under: uncultured bacterium
Lineage: Bacteria
Description: partial 16S ribosomal RNA
Rfam family: Bacterial small subunit ribosomal RNA
Source: RNAcentral